This 254-nucleotide ribosomal RNA is filed under the name uncultured bacterium. RNAcentral describes it as "partial 16S ribosomal RNA". It matches the Rfam family "Bacterial small subunit ribosomal RNA", at positions 524 to 776 of the family's 1533-position model. The record is from RNAcentral.
UACGUAGGGUGCAAGCGUUAUCCGGAUUUACUGGGCGUAAAGCGUAUCGUCGGCGGGUUGGUAAGUGACGUGUUCAAGCCUGGGGCCUAACCCCAGAAAGGCCCGUCAGACUGCCAGUCUUGAGGGUAUUGGAGGGAACUGGAACUUUCGGUGGAGGGGUGAAAUCCGUAGAUAUCGAAAGGAACGCCAAGGGUGAAGACAGGUUCCUACGGUACUCCUGACGCUCAUGAACGACAGCUAGGGUAGCAAAAGGG